CAGAGAGUAGUUUAAAUGCAAAAUUUUGGCUUUGGGAGCCAGUGAUGGGAGUUCAAUUCUCUUCUCUCUGA
This 71-nucleotide transfer RNA is filed under the name Heteromycteris japonicus. Its description in RNAcentral is "tRNA-Pro". It matches the Rfam family "tRNA". From Rfam's summary of the family: Transfer RNA (tRNA) molecules are approximately 80 nucleotides in length. Lineage: Eukaryota; Metazoa; Chordata; Actinopteri; Pleuronectiformes; Soleidae. The record is from RNAcentral.